AUUGAACGCUGGCGGCAGGCCUAACACAUGCAAGUCGAGCGGAUGAAGGGAGCUUGCUGCUGGAUUCAGCGGCGGACGGGUGAGUAAUGCCUAGGAAUCUGCCUGGUAGAGGGGGAUAACGUCCGGAAACGGGCGCUAAUACCGCAUACGUCCUGAGGGAGAAAGUGGGGGAUCUUCGGACCUCACGCUAUCAGAUGAGCCUAGGUCGGAUUAGCUAGUUGGUGGGGUAAAGGCCUACCAAGGCGACGAUCCGUAACUGGUCUGAGAGGAUGAUCAGUCACACUGGAACUGAGACACGGUCCAGACUCCUACGGGAGGCAGCAGUGGGGAAUAUUGGACAAUGGGCGAAAGCCUGAUCCAGCCAUGCCGCGUGUGUGAAGAAGGUCUUCGGAUUGUAAAGCACUUUAAGUUGGGAGGAAGGGCAGUAAGUUAAUACCUUGCUGUUUUGACGUUACCAACAGAAUAAGCACCGGCUAACUUCGUG
Molecule: ribosomal RNA, 484 nt
Filed under: uncultured bacterium
Lineage: Bacteria
Description: partial 16S ribosomal RNA
Rfam family: Bacterial small subunit ribosomal RNA
Source: RNAcentral